This 511-nucleotide ribosomal RNA is filed under the name uncultured Bacteroidota bacterium. RNAcentral describes it as "bacterial SSU rRNA". It matches the Rfam family "Bacterial small subunit ribosomal RNA", at positions 41 to 543 of the family's 1533-position model. The record is from RNAcentral. Lineage: Bacteria; Pseudomonadati; Bacteroidota.
CGUGAGCGCAGCUACACUGCAGUUCAACGGUACUUUUGGUGCUUGGCCCGAAUAGACGAGUGGCGAACGGGUGCGUAGCGCGUAUGCAAUCGGGCUUUUACUAUGGUAUAGCCCAGAGAAAUUUGGAUUAAUCCCCUAUAAUAUCAUUUAAUCGCAUGAUUUUAUGAUUAAAGCAUCGGCGGUAGAUGAUGAGCAUGCGUCCUGAUUAGUUAGUAUGUGAGGUAAGCGGGUCACCUAAACUCCGAUAGGUAGGGGUCCUGAGAGGGAGAUCGCCCACACUGGUACUGAGACACGGUCCAAACUCAUACGGGAGGCAGCAGUGAGGAAUAUUGGACAAUGGACGAAAGUCUGAUCCAGCUAUGCCGCGUGCAGGAUGACGGCCCUAUGGGUUGUAAACUGCUUUUAUACAGGAAGAAAAACUCCGACGUGUCGGAACUUGACGGUACUGUAAGAAUAAGGAUCGACUAACUCCGUGCCAGCAGCCGCGGUAAUACGGAGGAUCCAAGCGUUA